AACUGAUACUACCUGCGGGAACCUGCGGAGGGAUCAUUACAGAGUUGCAAAACUCCCUAAACCAUUGUGAACGUUACCUAAACCGUUGCUUCGGCGGGCGGCCCGGGUCCUUCCCGGCGCCCAUCGGCCCUCGCGGGCGCCCGCCGGAGGUAAACCAAACUAUUGCAUUGUAUGGCCUCUCUGAGUCUUCUGUACUGAAUAAGUCAAAACUUUUAACAACGGAUCUCUAGAUCGGAAGAG
Molecule: unclassified non-coding RNA, 240 nt
Filed under: soil metagenome
Description: partial contains 5.8S ribosomal RNA, internal transcribed spacer 2, and large subunit ribosomal RNA
Source: RNAcentral